UUGUAAGUAUAAAUCUGCACUAUAUGUUUUGAAAAUGCAACCCCAAGCAUAAGUCCAUCUGGCCCCCAGACACAUCGAUUCACUGAUAUCGCGGCAUCAUUCAACAAUGCUGUCUGCAGUGGCAUUGAAGCAACUGAGAGAUCCCACACUUUGAACGGUUUAUGUACCAACCUCUCCCGGGAGCCAACUUCCCAAAGGCUAAUGUCACCGACAUUUGUCCCAACUAGCAAUAUGGUUUGUUGCUGCGGAUGGAAGUCCAUGCUCAUAACAUUAGA
RNAcentral lists this unclassified non-coding RNA (275 nucleotides) under Hevea brasiliensis (rubber tree). Lineage: Eukaryota; Viridiplantae; Streptophyta; Magnoliopsida; Malpighiales; Euphorbiaceae. The record is from RNAcentral.